RNAcentral lists this ribosomal RNA (166 nucleotides) under uncultured bacterium. RNAcentral's name for it is "partial 16S ribosomal RNA". It matches the Rfam family "Bacterial small subunit ribosomal RNA", at positions 338 to 507 of the family's 1533-position model. The record is from RNAcentral.
CCUACGGGAGGCAGCAGUCGAGAGUCUUCCACAAUGGGCGAAAGCCUGAUGGAGCGACGCCGCGUGAAUGAAGAAGGGCUUCGGCCUGUAAAGUUCUUUUCUCUAUGAAAAAUCCGUCUUAAAAACGGUAUGAUAUUAGUAGAAGAAUAAGGGUUGCUAACUCGUG